Molecule: small RNA, 156 nt
Organism: Photorhabdus luminescens
Lineage: Bacteria; Pseudomonadati; Pseudomonadota; Gammaproteobacteria; Enterobacterales; Morganellaceae
Rfam family: STAXI RNA
Source: Rfam
UGUUGUCUUCGGACAAUCGCCAAUAUUCCCGCAGUCUGAGAGGAAUGCCUUUGGGUGACUGCUCUCAAUGUCAGAAAGGUCUGAGACUGACGCUUUCGUGUGACCUGUCACAAAGCCAUUGUAGCCUGAGAGGUGGUGCCUGCGGGCGGUAAACCC